GUAUCGCGAGAAAACCCGGGAGUUGGAAAAAGGGAGUUAGGGGUGGCAGGCGAAAAGGUGCCGGCGGUUAUCACCUCAUGACAGCCGCGCUACCGCAUUCAGAGGGCCGCGAAGACCCGAGGGUGGGCGGUGAGGGGCUAGAAAGUAGUGUGUGGUUGGACUUUUCUUCUUUUCCGAGGGGAGAGGGUAGAGCGGCUAAGAAAUAGCGCUUCGGAACACACAGGAGGUGUCGCGCGUGCUUACACUGAGGAGCUUUUUCUCUUUGGAAGGGGGAGAAGCCCUUCUCCUCGACGCGCAUCCCUCUCUCCCGCGGCGCCGAGAGGGGCGGGAGGCGUGCGCGCGCUCUCGUUGGCUGGCCACUCGGCACCUCGCUGCGAUAGGGGCCGUUCCGAGUUGGGGCUGCUCCGUUGGCUUUCUCCGCCCCUCCCCCCUCUCCUGUCCUCCCCUCGCUUCCCCGCCCCCCUCCGCCCCUCUCUCCUACCCGUCCGAAUUCCGUGGCUGGAGUACGCGUGCGCCUGCUCAGCUCCCGGCAGAGCGCGAGCUUGGGCUCGUAACCCACUCCCCUCUCCCCGCCCGCUCUUUACCUACGGGCAGUAGCUGGCCCGGUGGGCUCGCGGGGAGACGCUCGCGCGCGCAGGCGCAAACGACACGGAGCGGAGCUCGAGACAUCGAGGAGUAAGAAGCAUCGGAGGAGGCGAUCGGGGAGGAGGACGUGUGUGUUUCCAGGGUACUUGUGCAGGAUGUGCAGGUUUGUUACAUAGAUAAUCGUGUGCCAUGGUGGUUCGCUGCACCUAUCAACCCAUCACCCAGAGUCUUGCUCUGUCACCCAGCCUGGAGUGUAAUGGCACAUUCUUGGCUCACUGCGACCUCUGCCUCUCGUGUUGAAGUGAUUCUCCUGCCUCAGCCUCCCGAGUAGCUGGGAUUACAGGCAAGCACCAUCACGCCUGGCUAACUUUUGUAUUUUUAGUAGAGAUGGGGUUUCUCCAUGUUGGUCAGACUGGUAUCCAAUUCCUGACCUCGGGUGAUCUGCCUGCCUUGGCUUCCCAAAGUGCUGGGAUUACAGGCGUGAGCCACCGUUCCUGGCCCCAUUUAAACCAUUUUAAAGUGUACACUUAUACAGUGCCAUUAGGUAACUUCACGAUGUUGUGCAGCUAACACCCCUCAAAUGGAAAUUCAGUACCCAGUAAGCAGUCAAUCUUCAUUCUCCCUUCCUCCAAGUCCCAGGUGACCAUUUGCCUAUUCUGGGUAUUUCACAUAAAUGGAAUCGUAUAAUAUAUGACCUUUUGUGUCUGGCUUUCACUCAGCAUGUUUUUGAGAUUCAUCUGUGUUGUGGCAUGUAGCAUUACUUUAUUCCCUUUUAUUCCCUUUAUGGCUGAGUAUUAUUCCAUUAUAUGGAUGUGUACUAUAUUUUGUUUAUCCAUUUAUCAGUUCAUGGAUAUUUGGGAUGUUCCCACCUUUUGGCUUUUGUGAAUAGUGCUGCUAUGAAUAUUUGUAUGCAAGUUUGGUUUGAAUACCUGUUUUCAUUUAUUUUGGAUAUACCUACGAGCGCAACUGCUAGGUCAUAUGUAAUCCUAUGUUACAUUUUGUUUGGAGACAGGGCUUUGUUGCCCAGGCUGGAAUGCAGUGGCACAAUCAUAGCUUAGGGCGUUUUCAACCACCCAGGCUGAGGUGAUCCUCCCACUUCAGCCUCCUGAGUAGCUGGGAUUAUAGGUAUGGGUCACACACCCCACGCUAGGCUAAUUUUUUACUUUUGGUAGAGACAGGGUCUCCCUAUGUUGCCCAGGCUGGUCAUGAACUCCUGGGCUCAAGUGAUCCUCCUGCUUUAGCCACUGUGCCCAGCCAUAUGUUAAACUUGUUGAGAAACCACCAAACUGUUUUCCAUAGCAUUUGCACCAAUUUUCAUUGCUAUGAGCCAUGUAUGAGGGUUCCAU
This is a non-coding RNA of Callithrix jacchus (white-tufted-ear marmoset), 1931 nucleotides long. The record is from RefSeq and is a predicted model, not a curated record. NCBI's taxonomy places the organism in Eukaryota, Metazoa, Chordata, Mammalia, Primates, Cebidae.